GAUGAACGCUGGCGGCGUGCCUAAUACAUGCAAGUCGAGCGAACAGACGAGGAGCUUGCUCCUCUGACGUUAGCGGCGGACGGGUGAGUAACACGUGGAUAACCUACCUAUAAGACUGGGAUAACUUCGGGAAACCGGAGCUAAUACCGGAUAAUAUAUUGAACCGCAUGGUUCAAUAGUGAAAGACGGUUUUGCUGGCACUUAUAGAUGGAUCCGCGCCGCAUUAGCUAGUUGGUAAGGUAAAGGCUUACCAAGGCAACGAUGCGUAGCCGACCUGAGAGGGUGAUCGGCCACACUGGAACUUAGACACGCUCCACACUCCUACGGGAGGCAGCAGUAGGGAAUCUUCCGCAAUGGGCGAAAGCCUGACGGAGCAACGCCGCGUGAGUGAUGAAGGUCUUCGGAUCGUAAAACUCUGUUAUUAGGGAAGAACAAAUGUGUAAGUAACUAUGCACGUCUUGACGGUACCUAAUCAGAAAGCCACGGCUAACUACGUG
Molecule: ribosomal RNA, 497 nt
Filed under: uncultured bacterium
Lineage: Bacteria
Description: partial 16S ribosomal RNA
Rfam family: Bacterial small subunit ribosomal RNA
Source: RNAcentral